Long non-coding RNA from Ziziphus jujuba (common jujube), 1749 nucleotides. RefSeq lists it as uncharacterized. The record is from RefSeq and is a predicted model, not a curated record. The transcript has 2 exons. Lineage: Eukaryota; Viridiplantae; Streptophyta; Magnoliopsida; Rosales; Rhamnaceae.
CUAACCAACUUUUGUUCCAUCCGGACAAAAAUACCUUCUUCUUUUUUUCUCUACUUUCCCCAUUUCCUUUUCAAAACGCAGCCCAGGGUUGUUUUUUUUUUUUUUUUUUUUUUUUUUUUUUCCCCCUAAAAUUUUCACUUUCCUUUUGAAAAAUACCAACCCCAUCGCCACUUCUACCAAAAUUCUCCUAUCAAAAUUGUGUAGUAUGAUCAAGGGGCCAAUAUAGGGAGGAGAAAGAGUCUUCAACUUCAAGGGCAUGUUUGUUUUGUAGGAUUGGCCAAGCUAGGAGAGGACUCAGACCUAAUCUGGUGCUUGGUGAUGCUUUUUGUAAAUGGGACACAUUAAUCCAAGAUCCUAAAUAGCAAAGCUAGAGUAGGAUAAAUCUGACCCACCACAGCUCUUGGGUAACAGCCGGAUACAACAUAUCGAGCUUCUCUCACCAAUCGCUUCUCUCUCUCGCCGAUCUGCUCCUUUCUUGCUACGACAUCGAUCAUCUUCUUUCUCGAUCUGCUUCUUUUGACAAAGCACCCACGCCGAGCUUUGUGAUUACCCUCUCUCCUCCUCCUUCUCUCACCCUCCGAUUCGCCCACUUUAAUCCCACCUCCUUUUGGGUUCGAAUUUUUUUUUUUUUUUUUCCCCCUAAAUAUCAGGUUGCCUUUUUAGACGAUCUUUCAGACUACCUAUCAUUUUUCGGUUCAGGGACUCCGAUUUUAUGUACACACAAUAAUUGUGUAUUACUAUAAUUAACGCACAGUGUGGAUGCUACGAAGAAGGCUCUGAUUUGUAGCUACAAGAACUCUGUUAAUGGGUGUUAAUGGGUUUUCUGCAACACUCACUCCACAGUAGGUUUUAGAGAUUUCAAGUCAGGGGCAUUCUUCAUUUUACUUUCUUUUUUAUUAUUAGAUUAUUUAAUUUAGAGUUUUUUUGUAUUUGAUAGCUGCUUGAUUUGGUUCAUUUCCAUCCAAAUUUAUUAUCCUUAGUUUUUUAUUAUUAUUAUUUUAUAUAUUUAUUUAUUUAUUCAUUUUUGCAUCUUUAAGCCUAUUAAGUUAUUUUAAACAACACUUAGCUAUUUGUCCAAGUAAUCUCCAUUCAUUUUGUAAAAAAAAAUAAAAAUAAAAAUAAAAAAAUCUUCAAGCUCCAUUUAUAAACAUGUUUAAUGAUUUUAAUGGAUUUCAUGCAAAUAGCUCUUAGAAUUUUUUGUGCCAAUAUAGUUUAUAGUACAUAUAUGGAAAGAUAAUUGUGAUAGUGAGAAAAUAUUAGGUGCAUAAGGAUGUAGUUUUCUUUUAACUUAACAUUCAACUUGUAAAUUGAAUUGCUUUCCAAAGAGACUAUAAGUAAGAGACAAUGCUUAUACUUCUUUAAUUUUUUUUUUUUUUUUUUUUGUUUUUUCAAAUAAGUUUGUUGCAGUCCCUGGCACCUUUAAAUUGAUGUAUCAUUUUUUUGCCUAGAAAAAUAAAAUGUCUGUGUGUGCCCAUGGAAAUUCCUUAUCAGCAUCAUGAAGAUUGUGCUUGCUCUAUUUGGAUCUUUUUCAUUAGCUCAUGUAAAAUGUGCUCUGUUUAUUGCAGGUUAUGUUUAGUAGUGUCCUCCAUAAGUGGCUGCAUGCUAAAGCUGCAUUGUUUUUCCUAUAUUAGCAUUUAAAUGUAAAGAUAAUGAUGAAUUAUUUUUAUGUUCAUUUAUCAAAGAUGAUGAUGGAUUUUGAUGUAAAGAUAACUAAUUUACAGUCUACAAAAUGUGGUAUGUUUAUUAGAA